GGUGGUGUCGUCACCUUGUUUAGAUCCAGGUUCAGAAUGUCCUCUCUUUAGGGUAUUCAUUAAUGUUAGUGGGUGAUUUCAAUCGUAUCUUAAAUGUAGAGGAUAGAAAAGAGGCAAAUAUUUUAAGAUUAAUCAAGAAAUUAGAGAGUUUCAUACAUUCAUUAGGAACACUAGGCUUAUUGACCCUAGCUUCCAAAGGCCUCAAUAUACCUAGUGUAAUAAUCAGCUC
RNAcentral lists this long non-coding RNA (229 nucleotides) under Elaeis guineensis (African oil palm). Its description in RNAcentral is "long non-coding RNA (EGUI_LNC059259)". The record is from RNAcentral. Lineage: Eukaryota; Viridiplantae; Streptophyta; Magnoliopsida; Arecales; Arecaceae.